CCCCUGUUUGCCCUGAGCCGAGCCGGGAGAGCUGCGGGCCCUCCAGCCACGCCGAGCACAAAGGUCGUUUUCCAGCCCUAAUUAACGGUGUUAAGAGCUGCAGCGCCUGUGAGGAGCGUGAGGCUCUGUGCCUGUGCAGGGUUUGGGGUUAGAGCUGAGAAAAAAGGGAUUUGAGCUUCACAGCAGCUACAUCAGCUCGAGGCCUUCUACAGCUGCUUCGAGGUGUACUGGAGCUGUACUGGGAACAGCCUUUGGUGUUUCUCUGUGGGAAUUUUGCCUACGUGGGCAGCUGAAGAAGGAAUUUGUGAAGAUCUCCAGCACUUCUGGACACCCCGUAAAUCAGUCAGUGUCUCCACCAGGACUGCUGGACACCAGAGAUGAGGACCUCUGGGGCAGGGUGAAUCUGUAGUGCCUGUCACCCAAGGACCCCGUGUCCACGGCACAGUCAGAAAGCCAAGAGGAAAAUUCAAUUUUCCUGCUUAAAACAACUGGUGGGAGCCAUGGGAACAGCCUGGAAUCACAAAAAAAUGGGAGGCCAGCCUUGGUGCCAGCCUUUGUUGGUACCUGCUCUCAGCAAAGCACUGCUCAAUGUUAGCUCAGGUUCUCUGGGUUAUCAAAGAACCUAAAAAACAAGAUUUGCUAAUGAUCUUCUAUAUGUGAUGAAAAGAUUUCUCACAUGAAAGAGCUGGUGUCGGAGAAGAACACAGAAGCAACAGGCCUGGGGGAUUAUUUCCCAUCUAAAUUUAUCGUGCUCAAAGGUGCACGUUUUAAAAUAGGGAGCAGCUGAAGUGUGUGAGGGCUUGGGCUGGUGUGAGCUCUGUGCAGCUGGAGUUAUUUGUUACUGGGGCUGCCAGGCAUGGGAGGGUGUCAGCAAGAAGCCGGGACAGCUGGCUUGGAGAAGGGCACACGGGAGACGUGGGAGGAGGAAGAUUUACGUGAAGGAUGGCAGGGGCUGCACGCUUGGCCUGGGGACAGGGAGAGCGCAGCAAGCAGGUGUUGAGCUCCUAUCUCUGAGCAAGGACAGGAUCAGGCCCUAGCUGAGAGCUUUAAAUUGUUCUCGCCUUGUAAAUACUCAUAUGCAAAGUCUGCACCUCGUGCUACCCCAUAACCAGCUCUUUUCAGCUCCAGGACUGACCUCGAAGUGUUAUUGUGUCUUGCCUGACUGGAGGUGUGCGCUGAGGGUUUUCACAGAAGCAUAACUCAUCCUCCUUGGUUUUCUCGUGCAGUUCCUAAGCAGGAGCCAGGCUAAAGUACAGAGCGAAAGAGCAGCCCUUUGCCUGUGUUUGUAGCAGGCUCUUUGGAUUCCUGCCUUUAAGUCACACGGGGAUUUCAGCGUGAGGGUAACGGGGCACCAGAAGAGGAAAGAGCUGCAAUCCAGCAGAUGUUCCUCGCUGAUUUCUUCCUGAAGCAGCAGACCGCUGAGGCUGAGCCAGCACUGCAGACCUGGGAGCACCAGCAACAUGUGUGGUGCUUUUGGAUGCCCAAGGCUGCUUUCCUUCCAUGGGGCAUGGUCAGCAGCUGCGGAGCCCAUUCCUGUGUGCUCAUUGCAGGAUGUGUCAUUCUGGGAUGUGUCCUUAGCCUCUGCUUCCCCGCCAGCACCAUUUCACAGACUAUUUGGCCAGCAGAAAGGGCUUCAAACGGCUUAGCAGUCCCAGAACGGCAACGAAAUCUGCACGUGGAUGACUGAAAGACAGAUGGAGGGGCUGGCUGUGGAAGAAAAGCACCGCUUCUGCAAGGACGGAAGCAUAUGUUCUCAAGGUCUCCAGUUCGCCUAUGUGGGUUGGUCCGAAAGUUGUGACAUGCUGAGAAAGGCAUUUGCGCCCUGUUUUUAGCAGGAGCCACAUCCAAAAACGUGAAUUUCAAAGAGGAGAGACUGCAAAAUACUUACAGGCCACAGGGCAAGCUUUGCCAAAAGCUUUGCCAAAAGCUUUUUGCCCCAAAACCUCACUCUUUUUGGUGUGUGCCACAACAGCAAUAUUGGACAAGCCUGUGAGAUGCCAACAUCCCGGCUGUGGAAAAGUAGCACAUAAGGGGCAAAAGGGGGACAGGAGUCGAUAUUGUGUCACGCAGGCACGAACUGGACGUAUGAAAGCUGAAGCAGUGGUUGUGAAAAAUGCUUUUACAAGGAAAAAAAAUGAUAUAUUAACACACAGAGGAGGGAGGAAGUAAAAGUCCAUAAGGCAAUGGAAGGGUAAGUGAGCAAAAUGCCACUGCCAGGCCCCCCAGCUAUGGUAAGUGCUGGUACACGAUGGAUUAGGGCAAUACUAACAGGGGAGGAUUCCAUCCUGUCUGGUGCUCUGCCUACAACUGUGUCACUCUGCCCCUGAAAUUCAGCAGUAUUGUCCCUGACUGACCAUUGCACCAGCUUUGAACACCCUUCCAAAGGAUCUUGGCUUCAAAAUCUAAGCUUUGCACCCUUUCGCUGCAGAGCCAAUCUCUUCUGGUUGUGUUUCCGUCGGCGUUGCUCUGCAUCCACAAAAUGCAGUGCGACCUCUAUCACUCUCAGGCCCGGGGCACGUCCCCUUUCACUCGUGAAGAUGUGCAGACGUGCAGUGAUGUGGCACCAAAUAAAAUCUCUUGAUAGCCACGCACACGAUGCCAGCAUGUACACAUCCCACACGUGGGUAGCAAAGGGCAGCCCGCGGCCGCCAGCCAGCGUUUGGCUGGCGAGGUGACGUCUGAUGGAUGCGGCACCGGAUCAAGAGCGUGCACGCCAGAAAACAAGCAGGAGGAAGAUGUGGCGAGGAACGGCAGUGGGAGGACCUGGCAGGCGCCCGCAGGAGCUGAUUCAGAAGGGAGAUGCAGCCCCACCUGUUCUGCUGGGAGCCAACCUGCCCUGCACCGCGGCACCGCAGCGCUCAACGUGGGUUUAAUGACACCCAUUGCUCUGAAGGGAGGUAGUCCAAGCUGACUUGCAGUGAGAGCCGAGUGCCAGCCAGCUGCUGCUGAGCAGGACGGGGAUUUUGGCCUCGUGACAGAAAUUGCACCCUUGUGCAUGCCCAGGAAAUGAUGGGGUCCUAGAGUUCAACGAGAUGGGAAAUAAGCAUGAGAGUAACUAACAGGACUGUUAAAAAAUUAUAAUUAACAAAUAAUCUUGCCAUACAUCAUUCUUCCCAUUGUUUGUAAAUAAAAUAAGACUGUACUAAUAGAUGUGGAAUUUCUUAUACUCCUACCCUAUAUAGCUCUUACCAUCAUCCUGUAAGUGACUACGGCCCUUAGCACUCAGUCCUUUUCAACCUGUUGUUCACCACCUUGAUACUGGGCCUUGAAUUAAAACCUUAUUUCUGAUAAAUUGUGCCAUCAUGAAAAGA
This is a non-coding RNA of Anas platyrhynchos (mallard), 3311 nucleotides long. The record is from RefSeq and is a predicted model, not a curated record. NCBI's taxonomy places the organism in Eukaryota, Metazoa, Chordata, Aves, Anseriformes, Anatidae.